Molecule: small nucleolar RNA, 69 nt
Organism: Anguilla rostrata (American eel)
Lineage: Eukaryota; Metazoa; Chordata; Actinopteri; Anguilliformes; Anguillidae
Product: small nucleolar RNA U54
Exons: 1
Source: RefSeq, a predicted model, not a curated record
UGGCUAUGAGGAUAACCUUUUUUGUAAAUGAAAAUUUAUGAUUGAUUUAUACGCUAUUCUGAGCCAUUU